This 253-nucleotide ribosomal RNA is filed under the name uncultured bacterium. RNAcentral's name for it is "partial 16S ribosomal RNA". It matches the Rfam family "Bacterial small subunit ribosomal RNA", at positions 524 to 776 of the family's 1533-position model. The record is from RNAcentral.
UACGAGCACCCCAAGCGUUAUCCGGAAUCACUGGGUUUAAAGGGUGCGUAGGUGGGCAGGUAAGUCAGUGGUGAAAUCUCCGGGCUUAACUCGGAAACUGCCGUUGAUACUAUCUAUCUUGAAUAUCGUGGAGGUAAGCGGAAUAUGUCAUGUAGCGGUGAAAUGCUUAGAUAUGACAUAGAACACCCAUUGCGAAGGCAGCUUACUACACGAUCAUUGACACUGAGGCACGAAAGCGUGGGGAGCAAACAGG